GGAGGUAUACCCAAGUCUGGCUGAAGGGGUCGGUCUUGAAAACCGAGAGGCGGGUCAAACCGCGCGGGGGUUCGAAUCCCUCUACCUCCU
This is a transfer RNA of Bacilli bacterium VT-13-104, 90 nucleotides long. It matches the Rfam family "tRNA". From Rfam's summary of the family: Transfer RNA (tRNA) molecules are approximately 80 nucleotides in length. Their secondary structure includes four short double-helical elements and three loops (D, anti-codon, and T loops). The record is from Rfam. Lineage: Bacteria; Bacillati; Bacillota; Bacilli.